CACAAGCGGAGGAACAUGUGGUUUAAUUCGAUGAUACGCGAGGAACCUUACCUGGGCUCGAACGUAAGAUGACUGUAGGUGAAAGCUUACAUCUCUUCGGAGCAUUUUACGAGGUGCUGCAUGGUUGUCGUCAGCUCGUGCCGUGAGGUGUCGGGUUAAGUCCCAUAACGAGCGCAACCCUACCUUUAGUUGCCAUCAGGUAAUGCUGGGGACUCUAAAGGAACUGCCUACGCAAGUAGUGAGGAAGGCGGGGAUGACGUCAAAUCAGCACGGCCCUUACGUCCAGGGCUACACACGUGCUACAAUGGCCGAUACAGAGGGCAGCUACCUGGUGACAGGAUGCAAAUCUCCAAAGUCGGUCUCAGUUCGGAUCGGAGUCUGCAACCCGACUCCGUGAAGUUGGAUUCGCUAGUAAUCGCGCAUCAGCCAUGGCGCGGUGAAUACGUUCCCGGGCCUU
RNAcentral lists this ribosomal RNA (457 nucleotides) under uncultured Sphingobacteriales bacterium. Its description in RNAcentral is "bacterial SSU rRNA". It matches the Rfam family "Bacterial small subunit ribosomal RNA", at positions 924 to 1382 of the family's 1533-position model. Lineage: Bacteria; Pseudomonadati; Bacteroidota; Sphingobacteriia; Sphingobacteriales. The record is from RNAcentral.